Molecule: long non-coding RNA, 697 nt
Filed under: Homo sapiens (human)
Lineage: Eukaryota; Metazoa; Chordata; Mammalia; Primates; Hominidae
Description: non-protein coding LINC01535:15
Source: RNAcentral
UGUUGCUUCUUUGCUCCUUAGUUCCUCCCCUAACCUGGUGCUAAAUUAGAUCAUAGUGUGGUCCUUGGACCAACAGUAUCAAUAGCACCUGAAAGUCAUGCUGGAAAUACAGAUUCACAGGCUGCUCCCCAGAAUACUGAAGAAGAAACUCUAGGAGUGAGACCCAACAAUCUGUGUUUAACAAGUCCCCAGGUGAGUCUGAUGCACACAGAAAUGUGAGCUGCUGUAUUAGAUGGUGUUGAGUUCAUGCCACCGGAUCACUGACACACACGUCUGCUCACUGCUUGCUCUUUGCACAGGCCCCUGGAUCCUCCUGGAAUCCCUGAUCCCUGUUGCUCCCUGGCGGAGUUUUCUAGUCCCUCUUACUUGAAGCAUGUCUUUCAGAGCCCGGCACCACCCAAGUUGGGUAUCUGAUACCCCAUCAGCCUGAGUCUCUUAAAGGCCUUUAUACACAUAUGUCUACACAUAGGGAUUUGGAUGAUCUCGGGAUCCCACAUCCUCGCUGUCCCCUGUCCCCCCACAACAUCCCACACCAAUACCUUUCUGAAGUUUUCUAGUCCCUCCUUUUUGUUUGUGGUCCUUAAAGCCCAGCCCCAUGCCUGACUUUGGUUCCCAGUGAGCAUUGUACAUUUGUGGAUAUUAAAUCUUUGGCAAAGUCAUUUACCUGGGCUGGAAUAGGGCUCUUGGCUGAUUCUUU